AAUAGGCUAAUUAAGAGCGUAAGGGGAAUGCCUUGGCUCUCAGAGGCGAUGAAGGACGUGAUAAGCUGCGAUAAGCUGUGGGGAGUGGCACAAACACUUUGAUCCGCAGAUUUCCGAAUGGGGCAACCCGGCAUAUUGAAGAUAUGUCACACUGUAAAGUGAGCAAACCUGGUGAACUGAAACAUCUAAGUAACCAGAGGAAUAGAAAACAAAAGUGAUUCCGCUAGUAGUGGCGAGCGAACGUGGAACAGCCCAAACCUAUGUUGUUACGGCAAUAUAGGGGUUGUAGGACCUCAACAUUUAAUGCUAAUAGAACUAGAAUUUACUGGAAAGUAAAA
This 338-nucleotide ribosomal RNA is filed under the name uncultured Flavobacteriaceae bacterium. RNAcentral's name for it is "bacterial LSU rRNA". It matches the Rfam family "Bacterial large subunit ribosomal RNA", at positions 1 to 354 of the family's 2925-position model. Lineage: Bacteria; Pseudomonadati; Bacteroidota; Flavobacteriia; Flavobacteriales; Flavobacteriaceae. The record is from RNAcentral.